CCUACGGGGGGCUGCAGUAAGGAAUAUUGGUCAAUGGGCGGAAGCCUGAACCAGCCAUGCCGCGUGCAGGAAGACGGCCUACGGGUUGUAAACUGCUUUUGCAGGGGAAUAUGUACUCUGAGAAUAAGGAUCGGCUAACUCCGUGCCAGCAGCCGCGGUAAUACGGAGGAUCCAAGCGUUAUCCGGAUUUAUUGGGUUUAAAGGGUGCGUAGGCGGCUUUUUAAGUCAGGGGUGAAAGACGGUAGCUUAACUAUCGCAGUGCCCUUGAUACUGAAGAGCUUGAAUAUAGUUGAGGUAGGCGGAAUGUGACAAGUAGCGGUGAAAUGCAUAGAUAUGUCACAGAACACCAAUUGCGAAGGCAGCUUACUAACUUGAUUGACGCUGAGGCACGAAAGCGUGGGGAUCAAACAGGAUUAGAUACCCUUGUAGUC
This 431-nucleotide ribosomal RNA is filed under the name uncultured bacterium. Its description in RNAcentral is "partial 16S ribosomal RNA". It matches the Rfam family "Bacterial small subunit ribosomal RNA", at positions 338 to 795 of the family's 1533-position model. The record is from RNAcentral.